This 368-nucleotide ribosomal RNA is filed under the name uncultured bacterium. Its description in RNAcentral is "bacterial SSU rRNA". It matches the Rfam family "Bacterial small subunit ribosomal RNA", at positions 27 to 417 of the family's 1533-position model. The record is from RNAcentral.
GAGCGAACGCUGGCGGCAGGCUUAACACAUGCAAGUCGAGCGGGCGUAGCAAUACGUCAGCGGCAGACGGGUGAGUAACGCGUGGGAACGUACCCUUUUGGUUCGGAACAACCCAGGGGAAACUUAGGGCUAAUACCGGGAUAAGCCCUUACGGGGAAAGAUUUAUCGCCGAAAGAUCGGCCCGCGUCUGAUUAGCUAGUUGGUGAGGUAACGGCUCACCAAGGCGACGAUCAGUAGCUGGUCUGAGAGGAUGAUCAGCCACAUUGGGACUGAGACACGGCCCAGACUCCUACGGGAGGCAGCAGUGGGGAAUUUUGGACAAUGGGGGCAACCCUGAUCCAGCCAUGCCGCGUGCGGGAAGAAGGCCU